UACGAAGGGGGCUAGCGUUGCUCGGAAUGACUGGGCGUAAAGGGCGCGUAGGCGGUUUGGACAGUCAGAUGUGAAAUUCCUGGGCUCAACCUGGGGGGCUGCAUUUGAUACGUUCGGACUAGAGUGGGGGAAGAGGGUCGUGGAAUUCCCAGUGUAGAGGUGAAAUUCGUAGAUAUCGGGAGGAACACCAGUGGCGAAGGCGGCGACCUGGACGGACACUGACGCUGAGACGCGAAAGCGUGGGGAGCAAACAGG
This 255-nucleotide ribosomal RNA is filed under the name uncultured bacterium. RNAcentral describes it as "partial 16S ribosomal RNA". It matches the Rfam family "Bacterial small subunit ribosomal RNA", at positions 524 to 776 of the family's 1533-position model. The record is from RNAcentral.